This 423-nucleotide long non-coding RNA is filed under the name Ananas comosus (pineapple). Its description in RNAcentral is "long non-coding RNA (ACOM_LNC028863)". The record is from RNAcentral. Lineage: Eukaryota; Viridiplantae; Streptophyta; Magnoliopsida; Poales; Bromeliaceae.
CGGAUUCACCCCGUUUGCAUCCUUAAUUGUUCUACGGGGCAAUUGCUUAUAUACCUGUUUUUGAUUUACCUUUCUUAGAAAGCUAAUAUUAAAAAUAUCCCUUUUUACGUUCGACAUUAUUUCAAAUAUAUCCCUAAAGUUAAAUACUGUUAGUGAACGGUUAGCAAUAGCUGUUAUCUCUGCAAAAUUACUAUUUUAUCCUUUCAAAUAUAUCCUUCUACUAGCACCAACUUUUCUUAUUUGUCCUUAAGUUAAGGACAAAAGAGGUAUUUUGAUUUAACUUACGUUUAACCCGUGAUAAUUUAACGGACGGUAACUACGGGAGUAUUUCUGAAUAACGAAGGAACAUAUCAAAGAUAUAUUGGAAACAAAAAAAAUAUAUAUAUAGGAAUAAAUUAGAUAUUUUCAAAGUUUCUUGUGGGU